Capsicum annuum is the source of this 3616-nucleotide long non-coding RNA. RefSeq lists it as uncharacterized. The record is from RefSeq and is a predicted model, not a curated record. NCBI's taxonomy places the organism in Eukaryota, Viridiplantae, Streptophyta, Magnoliopsida, Solanales, Solanaceae. The transcript has 2 exons.
UUCAAGGAAAAAUAUGAGUACUUAAACACUACGUUUUCAAGACAAGAAGAAAAUAAAAAAGGGAUUCUUUCUUUUCAUCUUCUAUAGAGGAGUUCUUAGAAAAACCCACCAUUUUCAUAACGGCUAAGACCAAAAACUAAACUAAAGGCCCAAAUUUCUUUGAACAAAAUUUAUGGCUUUCACUUUCCACUCAUUUGCUCUGCUCUUCAACUUCACUCGAAUUCCAUUUUCAACUUUUAUGCGAUUCCCCAAUUACUUUUCACUCAGUGUUUGUUGCUUCACUCCUAGUCCUAGUUCUACUGAUGAAGAUGCAACAAGGAAAAAAAGUUGAAUAUGAAGUGUACUUCUAGCACGACUCAUCACAAAUUACGAAUUGAUAUUCUGAUUUACGUCGAGUUCAAAUUCCCCAAACUUGUUCUGGACAACUUUGUUCUCUAAUAGGGAGUGCAAUAAAGUUGCUAACUAUCUUGCAAAUUAUGGAGAAAGACGCAAAAGGCUUACAAUUUUGAGAAUGCAAAUUCUCUUCUGACAAGGUGAAAUCCCUCAUUAGGCUGGAUAGAGAUGACUUUCCCAACUUUAUUAUAUUUAAAACUAGAAAGAAUCAUUUUGUUAUUAAUGAUGCUAGCGCUAAAUAGUCAUAUCCGGUGUAUUGUAGUAUAUAUAGCAUCCUGCUGAAUAGAUGCCCAACACUCUAGUAUAUGAGAAUUAUCCUCUCAUAUGUGUUACAUUCUUCAAUUUUGUUUGGAGGCAUAGUUUAUGUUAUCCUCCCCUUUUGACUCUUAUUUGAUGAAUAUACAGGUUGAGGUCUUUCCUCCCCCCCCCCCCCCCCACCACACACCCCCAAAAAAAAAAAACCCACCUUGAGUGGGCUUCAGUUAUUUUUAAAAAUCAGGGGUUAUUGAAAAUAAUAUUUCUACCUCAUCUCUGAGGUAGUGGUACAGACUGCGUACAUUUACCUUCUCCAGAUUCCACUUUGUAGAAAUAUAUAAGUAAUGUUGUUGUAUAUUUUAGUAAUACCUAUACACUAAACAAUCCACAAAUAUUAGAUUCAAACUAAAUAUGAUGCCAUUUAUACUAUUGAAAACCUUGGCUAAACUAAUAACAUGUUCGACAAAGUUGUCGAAGUUAGCCUUUUUUGGAAAAAAAAUAAGAGUUUUUUUCUUUUCUCUUUUCUCUUUUUUUAAAAGUAAUUCACGAGUGGCAAACUAAACAUUAUCUCCAGUGGAAUGCAGUGAUCUGCUCGCCUCCUUUCCUACUACUGAUUUCUUCCAUGAUAACCUCUACAACGCCUAUCGGCCAUCCUGUUGGUUGCAAACAUCUUAGUGACCCUCCUCCUCCUUCCCAAAAUACCAAUUCAUAUGCUGCUAACAUUUCCAGUUCUAACAAAUUUGGCACCACACAAAGACUCCCUUUCUAACCACUAACAACUGAGUUCUUCACUCCCGAGAGGAAGAGGAGCUUAUUAAUGCGUACAGAUUAAUCAAUGAAAAUAGAAGAAACUUUAAUGCUAAGUUUCUUAUGAAAGGUGUAUCCAAGAUCAGUCAUUACUGUUAGGUUUUUAUCUUAAUUUUCUUAUCAAAUUUAAGUUUUACUUUUUUCUUAAUAGGAAAAUAAAAGUAAUAUCAUAAUUACUUUUACUUUUUUCUGAAAGGAAAAUAUAAAACUUUUCCAUAUUUGACGAACCUUUUCUUUUGAGAAUUUUUUUUGAAACUGUAUAAAUAAAAGACCCCUUCUCAUACUAUAACACAAUAUCAUCCACAAUUUAGUCGUUUAAGAGUUUUGGUUAGAGAGAAAUUUUCUCUCUCAUUAGUUUUUGUAUUUUCUUAAAUAUUUGGUUUUAUAAUAUGUAGAUCAAUUGACCAAAAUUUAUAAUAGUUUUAUGUUUUUUAGUAUUAUUUUCUUUGUCGUCUGAUUUAUCGUUUCAUAGUUUGCAACUAAUAGCUUCCGCAUGAUUGAUUUCGAACCCAACAAGUGGUAUCAGAGAUUACAGUUCAAAGGUCCAAUGGUUUGAUGAAAUGAGGUUGAAGACAAGUUCAAGACGGUUCAAAAUCAAUUUGCAACUAAUUUGAUGAUAAUGAAGAUAUAUGUUCAAGAUACUACAUGUGGAUAAAAAGUUUCAAACAAAUUUUCAUCAAUCCUGCUGUUAAUUCAUCUUUAAAAUCAAAAUCAAUUUUCAACUCAUGUUUAUGGGCUCCAACUUUUAACCCUUGCUGAUUUUUAUGCUUGGGCUCCUUUCAACUCGUCAAUUUAUUUUUAACACAUGAGCUUCACUCUUAACCUGUGCUCACUUUCAGUGCACAGGGCUUCACUUUCAACCCUAUUUACUUAUAACACAGAGCUCAAAUAAUAUCAACCUGUGUUUUUAUUUUUAAUGUAUAGGACUCCAAUUUUUAACCCAUAUCAACUUUUAAUCAUGGUAAGCAGCAGCGAUAUAUGAAGAUCGUGUGAAGAAGGAAGAUCAAGGUUAUUUUGCCAGAAAAUCAAACAAAAAAGGGGAGAUUUAUUAGAAUUUUUGUCCUGAUUUUCUUACCAAAUUUAAGUUUUACUUUUUCUUAAAAGGAAAAUAAAAGUAAUACCAUAAUUACUUUUACUAAAAGAAAAAUAUAAAACUUUUCCAUAUUUGGCGAAAUUAUUUCUUUGAGGAAAAGUUUUGAAACUCUAUAAAUGGAAGACCCCUUCUCUUACUAUAACAAAAUAACAUCUACAAUGUAGUUGUUUCAGAGUUUUGAAAAAAUAAAAGUAAUACCAUAAUUACUUUUACUUUUUCUAAAAGAAAAAUAUAAAACUUUUUCAUAUUUGGCGAAACUAUUUCUUUGAGGAAAAGUUUUGAAACUCUAUAAAUGGAAGACGCCUUCUCAUACUAUAACAAAAUAACAUAUUCAAUGUAGUUGUUUCAGAGUUUUGGAUAGGGGGAGAUUUUCUCUCUCAUUAGUUUUUGUAUUUUCUUAAAUAUUAGGUUUUAUAAUAUGUAGACCAAUUGACCAAAAUUUAUAAUAAUUUUAUGUUUUUUAGUAUUGUUUUUUUUGUCGUCUGAUUUAUCGUCUCAUAGUUUGCAACUAAUAGCUUCUGCAUGACGGCCUUUCGAUUUCAAACCCAAUAAUUACUACUCAAAACAUAUAUGAAUCGAUUUUACAAAAGAGGAAUAUUUCAAGAAUAUUUACAGUAAGGAUAAAUUAUAUUUCUGGGAUUGUCAUUGCGUAUUGCAUGGACUAAAGACUUUAAGUUGGAUGAGGAACUUUUAACUACAGUUUGGAUUCAUUUUACAGGGCUGCUGUUAUGAACCUAGUCAAAUCCAAUGUACACAUCAAGAUAACACAAGCUGUUAUUGGGCUGACAAGAGCUAUUGGGCCGAGAAUAAGGAAUAGAGUUAAUUUAGAAUCUGGGUUGAAUAAUGGGCAUGAGAACAGUUUCAUUAUAAGGGGUAGUGGCUUGUGAUUGAAGGAUUAUGCAGAUUAUUGAGAAAAAUGUCUAGUCCUCUUAUACCCUUUCUUAUAGUCUAAGUUUCUCAUCUCCCUUCUAGUUAUCUUUGAUAGUUCUCUUCGUUUUACUAAUUCAGAGUUGUUCUGCAAUUAGUUGUUUGGUCUAGUGAUUAUAAUAAAAGAAUCCUUCUAUGAAA